RNAcentral lists this ribosomal RNA (495 nucleotides) under uncultured bacterium. Its description in RNAcentral is "partial 16S ribosomal RNA". It matches the Rfam family "Bacterial small subunit ribosomal RNA", at positions 28 to 507 of the family's 1533-position model. The record is from RNAcentral.
GAUGAACGCUGGCGGCGUGCCUAAUACAUGCAAGUCGAGCGAACAGACGAGGAGCUUGCUCCUCUGACGUUAGCGGCGGACGGGUGUGUAACACGUGGAUAACCUACCUAUAAGACUGGGAUAACUUCGGGAAACCGGAGCUAAUACCGGAUAAUAUAUUGAACCGCAUGGUUCAAUAGUGAAAGACGGUUUUGCUGUCACUUAUAGAUGGAUCCGCGCCGCAUUAGCUAGUUGGUAAGGUAACGGCUUACCAAGGCAACGAUGCGUAGCCGACCUGAGGGUGAUCGGCCACACUGGAACUGAGACACGGUCCAGACUCCUACGGGAGGCAGCAGUAGGGAAUCUUCCGCAAUGGGCGAAAGCCUGACGGAGCAACGCCGCGUGAGUGAUGAAGGUCUUCGGAUCGUAAAACUCUGUUAUUAGGGAAGAACAAAUGUGUAAGUAACUAUGCACGUCUUGACGGUACCUAAUCAGAAAGCCACGGCUAACUACGUG